UUAUCACUAAUCAAGCCCGGCUUGCUGUUGGACCUUUUGUCGUAAAAAGACAGGCCCUAAAGAUAAUGACGGUGUCUUUUGACCCUAGAUACAACGAGCUUUAAUUAGCACGUAUCUAUAGUGGACUUUUGGACCCGGUCUUUUGUAACCAAUUUUUUCAGGUUGACCUCGGAUCAGGUAGGAAUACCCGCUGAACUUAA
This 200-nucleotide unclassified non-coding RNA is filed under the name soil metagenome. RNAcentral's name for it is "partial contains internal transcribed spacer 2 and large subunit ribosomal RNA". The record is from RNAcentral.